Molecule: non-coding RNA, 54 nt
Organism: Salmo salar (Atlantic salmon)
Lineage: Eukaryota; Metazoa; Chordata; Actinopteri; Salmoniformes; Salmonidae
Source: Rfam
UGCAUUCACUACUGUAAGUCGCUCUGGAUAAGAGCGUCUGCUAAAUUCUCUGUC